AGAGUUUGAUCCUGGCUCAGAACGAACGCUGGCGGCAUGCCUAACACAUGCAAGUCGAACGCUCUGGCUUCGGCCAGGGAGUGGCGCACGGGUGAGUAGCGCGUGGGAACCUGCCUUGGAGUGGGGGAUAACCGAGGGAAACUUCGGCUAAUACCGCAUGCGCCGGGAGCAAUCCCGGGAAAGAUUUAUCGCUCUAAGAG
Molecule: ribosomal RNA, 200 nt
Filed under: uncultured bacterium
Lineage: Bacteria
Description: partial 16S ribosomal RNA
Rfam family: Bacterial small subunit ribosomal RNA
Source: RNAcentral